AACGAACGCUGGCGGCAUGCCUAACACAUGCAAGUCGAACGAGACCUUCGGGUCUAGUGGCGCACGGGUGCGUAACGCGUGGGAACCUGCCCUUAGGUUCGGAAUAACUCCCCGAAAGGGGUGCUAAUACCGGAUAAUGUCUUCGGACCAAAGAUUUAUCGCCUUUGGAUGGGCCCGCGUUGGAUUAGCUAGUUGGUAGGGUAAAAGCCUACCAAGGCGACGAUCCAUAGCUGGUCUGAGAGGAUGAUCAGCCACACUGGGACUGAGACACGGCCCAGACUCCUACGGGAGGCAGCAGUGGGGAAUAUUGGACAAUCGGCGAAAGCCUGAUCCAGCAAUGACGCGUGAGUGAUGAAGUCCUUAGGGUUGUAAAGCUCUUUUACCCGGGAUGAUAAUGACAGUACCGGGAGAAUAAGCUCCGGCUAACUCCGUG
RNAcentral lists this ribosomal RNA (433 nucleotides) under uncultured bacterium. Its description in RNAcentral is "partial 16S ribosomal RNA". It matches the Rfam family "Bacterial small subunit ribosomal RNA", at positions 29 to 507 of the family's 1533-position model. The record is from RNAcentral.